UACAUUAUAUAUAAUAUAAAUUAUACAUAUUUUAUAUCUGUAUAUAUAAUAUAUACAUAUAAAAAUAUGGGGACUGGGCACAGUGGGUCAUGUCUAUAAUCCCAGCACCUUGGGAGGCUGGGACAGGAGGAUCACUUGA
Molecule: long non-coding RNA, 139 nt
Filed under: Pongo abelii (Sumatran orangutan)
Lineage: Eukaryota; Metazoa; Chordata; Mammalia; Primates; Hominidae
Description: lincRNA
Source: RNAcentral